AAAUUGAAGAGUUUGAUCAUGGCUCAGAUUGAACGCUGGCGGCAGGCCUAACACAUGCAAGUCGAACGGUAACAGGAAGCAGCUUGCUGCUUUGCUGACGAGUGGCGGACGGGUGAGUAAUGUCUGGGAAACUGCCUGAUGGAGGGGGAUAACUACUGGAAACGGUGGCUAAUACCGCAUAACGUCGCAAGACCAAAGAGGGGGAUCUUCGGGCCUCUUGCCAUCAGAUGUGCCCAGAUGGGAUUAGCUUGUUGGUGAGGUAACGGCUCACCAAGGCGACGAUCCCUAGCUGGUCUGAGAGGAUGACCAGCCACACUGGAACUGAGACACGGUCCAGACUCCUACGGGAGGCAGCAGUGGGGAAUAUUGCACAAUGGGCGCAAGCCUGAUGCAGCCAUGCCGCGUGUAUGAAGAAGGCCUUCGGGUUGUAAAGUACUUUCAGCGGGGAGGAAGGUGUUGUGGUUAAUAACCGCAGCAAUUGACGUUACCCGCAGAAGAAGCACCGGCUAACUCCGUGCCAGCAGCCGCGGUAAUACGGAGGGUGCAAGCGUUAAUCGGAAUUACUGGGCGUAAAGCGCACGCAGGCGGUCUGUCAAGUCGGAUGUGAAAUCCCCGGGCUCAACCUGGGAACUGCAUUCGAAACUGGCAGGCUUGAGUCUUGUAGAGGGGGGUAGAAUUCCAGGUGUAGCGGUGAAAUGCGUAGAGAUCUGGAGGAAUACCGGUGGCGAAGGCGGCCCCCUGGACAAAGACUGACGCUCAGGUGCGAAAGCGUGGGGAGCAAACAGGAUUAGAUACCCUGGUAGUCCACGCCGUAAACGAUGUCUACUUGGAGGUUGUGCCCUUGAGGCGUGGCUUCCGGAGCUAACGCGUUAAGUAGACCGCCUGGGGAGUACGGCCGCAAGGUUAAAACUCAAAUGAAUUGACGGGGGCCCGCACAAGCGGUGGAGCAUGUGGUUUAAUUCGAUGCAACGCGAAGAACCUUACCUGGUCUUGACAUCCACGGAAGUUUUCAGAGAUGAGAAUGUGCCUUCGGGAACCGUGAGACAGGUGCUGCAUGGCUGUCGUCAGCUCGUGUUGUGAAAUGUUGGGUUAAGUCCCGCAACGAGCGCAACCC
This 1114-nucleotide ribosomal RNA is filed under the name Salmonella enterica. Its description in RNAcentral is "bacterial SSU rRNA". It matches the Rfam family "Bacterial small subunit ribosomal RNA", at positions 1 to 1104 of the family's 1533-position model. The record is from RNAcentral. Lineage: Bacteria; Pseudomonadati; Pseudomonadota; Gammaproteobacteria; Enterobacterales; Enterobacteriaceae.